This 1527-nucleotide ribosomal RNA is filed under the name Pseudomonas sp. RNAcentral describes it as "bacterial SSU rRNA". It matches the Rfam family "Bacterial small subunit ribosomal RNA". Lineage: Bacteria; Pseudomonadati; Pseudomonadota; Gammaproteobacteria; Pseudomonadales; Pseudomonadaceae. The record is from RNAcentral.
GGCGGUCUUCAGUAGCAGCUUACACAUGCGAGUCGAGCGGAUGAGUGGAGCUUGCUCCAUGAUUCAGCGGCGGACGGGUGAGUAAUGCCUAGGAAUCUGCCUGGUAGUGGGGGACAACGUUUCGAAAGGAACGCUAAUACCGCAUACGUCCUACGGGAGAAAGCAGGGGACCUUCGGGCCUUGCGCUAUCAGAUGAGCCUAGGUCGGAUUAGCUAGUUGGUGAGGUAAAGGCUCACCAAGGCGACGAUCCGUAACUGGUCUGAGAGGAUGAUCAGUCACACUGGAACUGAGACACGGUCCAGACUCCUACGGGAGGCAGCAGUGGGGAAUAUUGGACAAUGGGCGAAAGCCUGAUCCAGCCAUGCCGCGUGUGUGAAGAAGGUCUUCGGAUUGUAAAGCACUUUAAGUUGGGAGGAAGGGCAGUAAGUUAAUACCUUGCUGUUUUGACGUUACCGACAGAAUAAGCACCGGCUAACUUCGUGCCAGCAGCCGCGGUAAUACGAAGGGUGCAAGCGUUAAUCGGAAUUACUGGGCGUAAAGCGCGCGUAGGUGGUUCAGCAAGUUGGAUGUGAAAGCCCCGGGCUCAACCUGGGAACUGCAUCCAAAACUACUGAGCUAGAGUACGGUAGAGGGUGGGUGGAAUUUCCUGUGUAGCGGUGAAAUGCGUAGAUAUAGGAAGGAACACCAGUGGCGAAGGCGACCACCUGGACUGAUACUGACACUGAGGUGCGAAAGCGUGGGGAGCAAACAGGAUUAGAUACCCUGGUAGUCCACGCCGUAAACGAUGUCGACUAGCCGUUGGGAUCCUUGAGAUCUUAUUGGCGAAGCUAACGCGAUAACUCGACCGCCUGGGGAGUACGGCCGCAAGGGUAAAACUCAAAUGAAUUGACGGGGGCCCCCACAAGCCGGUGGAGCAUGUGGUUUUAAUUCCAAAGCAACGCCGAAAAACCCUUACCUGGCCUUUGACAUGCUGGAAAACUUUUCCAAAAAAUGGAUUGGUGGCUUUCGGGAAACUCAGAACCAGGGUGCCUGAUUGGGCUGUCGUCCGCUUCGGGUUGGUGAAAAUGUUGGGUUAAAUUCCCGUAACGAAGCGCCACCCCUCGGUCUUUUAUUUUCCAUGACCGUUUAGUGGUGGGGAACUCCUAGGGGACACUGCGCGGGGAAAAAGCCGGGAAUGGAAGGUGGGGGGAGGGGAGGCUAAGGAAUAUUUUCGGCCCCUUUUUCCGCGGCGGGGGGCCUACUAUACUGGCGCGCGCUACGAAGGUUUCCGUUUCCACGAGGGGGAGCGUGGCCCACAAAUUCACCCGAGGUUUCGGCCCCACACAAACACCCGACGGAGGGUAAUCGGUGCCGGCUAGUGCUCCUGAAUCAGACUGUCGACUGUUAUUACGCACCCAUCAACGGCAUACCCCGCCCGUCACACCAUGGGAGUGGGUUGCUCCAGAAGUAGCUAGUCUAACCGCAAGGGGGACGGUACCACGGAGUGUUCAUGACUGGGGGAGUCGUACUCUACCGGUAGACUACUCC